This 23-nucleotide non-coding RNA is filed under the name Arabidopsis thaliana (thale cress). Lineage: Eukaryota; Viridiplantae; Streptophyta; Magnoliopsida; Brassicales; Brassicaceae. The record is from RNAcentral.
ACCUCUUGGUCUCGGUGGUGGUA